GUGAAUCAUCGAGUCUUUGAACGCAUAUUGCGCUCUUUGGUAUUCCGAAGAGCAUGCUUGUUUGAGUAUCAGUAAACACCUCAACACUCUUUAUCGAUUUGUUUCGACUGGGAGUAUUGGAUUUGAGCAAACCCAACGCCUUUCUGCUAGCCAGACUUGCGGCGGGUUGCUUGAAAUGCAGGUGCAGCUGAGUUUUCUUCUGAGCUAAUAGCAUACUUAAUUAGUCCCGUAAAAAGGAUUAUUAAUCUGCUGAAGCUUACACCAAAGGAAGAGUUCUCUGGCUGACUGAUGCAGAAUUACACAUGGCCGGUAAAACGGCUUUGUAAACUCGAUCUCAAAUCAAGUAAGACUACCCGCUGAACUUAAGCAUAUCAAUAAGCGGAGG
RNAcentral lists this ribosomal RNA (385 nucleotides) under uncultured fungus. Its description in RNAcentral is "eukaryotic LSU rRNA". The stretch from base 1 to 71 matches the Rfam family "5.8S ribosomal RNA", at positions 84 to 154 of the family's 154-position model. Lineage: Eukaryota; Fungi. The record is from RNAcentral.